This 71-nucleotide transfer RNA is filed under the name Camelus bactrianus (Bactrian camel). It matches the Rfam family "tRNA". Rfam says of the family: Transfer RNA (tRNA) molecules are approximately 80 nucleotides in length. Their secondary structure includes four short double-helical elements and three loops (D, anti-codon, and T loops). The record is from Rfam by way of RNAcentral. RNAcentral also lists the same sequence under 1 other name. Lineage: Eukaryota; Metazoa; Chordata; Mammalia; Artiodactyla; Camelidae.
GAAGGUAAGGCUCAGUGGUAGAGCGUGUGCUUAUUAGCACAAGGUCCUGGGUUCAAUCCCCAAUAGCUCCA